GACGAACGCUGGCGGCGUGCUUAACACAUGCAAGUCGAACGGAAAGGCCCCUUUGGGGGUACUCGAGUGGCGAACGGGUGAGUAACACGUGAGUAACCUGCCCUUGACUUCGGGAUAACUUCAGGAAACUGGGGCUAAUACCGGAUAGGAAUCCUUGCUGCAUGGUGGGGGUUGGAAAGCUUCGGCGGUUUUGGAUGGACUCGCGGCUUAUCAGCUUGUUGGUGGGGUAGUGGCUUACCAAGGCUUUGACGUGUAGCCGGCCUGAGAGGGCGACCGGCCACAUUGGGACUGAGAUACGGCCCAGACUCCUACGGGAGGCAGCAGUGGGGAAUAUUGCACAAUGGGCGGAAGCCUGAUGCAGCAACGCCGCGUGCGGGAUGACGGCCUUCGGGUUGUAAACCGCUUUCAGCAGGGGCGAAGCUUGUGGUGACGGUACCUGCAGAAGAAGCACCGGCUAACUACGUG
Molecule: ribosomal RNA, 465 nt
Filed under: uncultured bacterium
Lineage: Bacteria
Description: partial 16S ribosomal RNA
Rfam family: Bacterial small subunit ribosomal RNA
Source: RNAcentral